This 253-nucleotide ribosomal RNA is filed under the name uncultured bacterium. RNAcentral describes it as "partial 16S ribosomal RNA". It matches the Rfam family "Bacterial small subunit ribosomal RNA", at positions 524 to 776 of the family's 1533-position model. The record is from RNAcentral.
AACGUAGGGGACAAGCGUUAAUCGGAAUUACUGGGCGUAAAGCGUGCGCAGGCGGUUCGUCGUGUCCGAUGUGAAAGCCCCGGGCUCAACCUGGGAAUGGCAUUGGAAACUGGCGGACUCGAGUGUGGCAGAGGGGGGUGGAAUUCCGCGUGUAGCAGUGAAAUGCGUAGAGAUGCGGAGGAACACCGAUGGCGAAGGCAGCCCCCUGGGCUAACACUGACGCUCAGGCACGAAAGCGUGGGGAGCAAACAGG